UGCCUACGGGGGGCAGCAGUCGGGAAUAUUGCGCAAUGGAGGAAACUCUGACGCAGUGACGCCGCGUGCAGGAAGAAGGUUUUCGGAUUGUAAACUGCUUUAGACAGGGAAGAAAAAAGACAGUACCUGUAGAAUAAGCUCCGGCUAACUACGUGCCAGCAGCCGCGGUAAUACGUAGGGAGCAAGCGUUAUCCGGAUUUAUUGGGUUUAAAGGGUGCGUAGGCGGUUUUAUAAGUUAGAGGUGAAAAUUCGGGGCUCAACUCCGGACGUGCCUCUAAUACUGUAUGACUAGAGAAUAGAUGCGG
This 305-nucleotide ribosomal RNA is filed under the name uncultured bacterium. RNAcentral's name for it is "bacterial SSU rRNA". It matches the Rfam family "Bacterial small subunit ribosomal RNA", at positions 335 to 657 of the family's 1533-position model. The record is from RNAcentral.